GACGAACGCUGGCGGCGUGCCUAAUACAUGCAAGUAGAACGCUGAAGAGAGGAGCUUGCUCUUCUUGGAUGAGUUGCGAACGGGUGAGUAACGCGUAGGUAACCUGCCUUGUAGCGGGGGAUAUCUAUUGGAAACGAUAGCUAAUACCGCAUAACAAUGGAUGACACAUGUCAUUUAUUUGAAAGGGGCAAUUGCUCCACUACAAGAUGGACCUGCGUUGUAUUAGCUAGUAGGUGAGGUAACGGCUCACCUAGGCGACGAUACAUAGCCGACCUGAGAGGGUGAUCGGCCACACUGGGACUGAGACACGGCCCAGACUCCUACGGGAGGCAGCAGUAGGGAAUCUUCGGCAAUGGGGGCAACCCUGACCGAGCAACGCCGCGUGAGUGAAGAAGGUUUUCGGAUCGUAAAGCUCUGUUGUAAGUCAAGAACGAGUGUGAGAGUGGAAAGUUCACACUGUGACGGUAGCUUACCAGAAAGGGACGGCUAACUACGUG
This 497-nucleotide ribosomal RNA is filed under the name uncultured bacterium. Its description in RNAcentral is "partial 16S ribosomal RNA". It matches the Rfam family "Bacterial small subunit ribosomal RNA", at positions 28 to 507 of the family's 1533-position model. The record is from RNAcentral.